Non-coding RNA from Sus scrofa (pig), 5119 nucleotides. NCBI's taxonomy places the organism in Eukaryota, Metazoa, Chordata, Mammalia, Artiodactyla, Suidae. The record is from RefSeq and is a predicted model, not a curated record.
UUCAUAAUCUGCUGAGCCACAAUAGGAACUCCCAGGAGUAAGUCUUAGAGAGGAUAUAAAGAUUGUCUGGGUUUUGUUUUUAAAUGAUUGGUAUUAUUGCUAUUAUAGCUUUCUGGAUUUAAAAGUCUAAAUUUAUCUACGUGGUUUUCAGUAUGCCUCAGAAUUCAUCCUGAAUAAUAAGAUGUAGACUUUGAGCUGGGCUGAGCUUUCCUUUGAUGAUGCAUGUGUGCAAUUGCAAUUCUGAGACUAACAUUAUAUAUAAUAUAUAUACACACAUAUACAUGUUAUAUAAUAUAUAUAACAUGAAAUAUACAUAUCAAUACAGGUAUUGAUGAACAGGCAUCAAGCAAAGAAUUUUGCCUGUUUUCCUAAACAUUCUUCCCAUUUUAAUUUAUGUGUUUUGGUUCAGUGUUUCCUUAACUCCAGGAAUGAAGUUUUCUUUGAGGGCUAUCUCUUCUGUUUUGGAAUGCAUCCAUGUAAUUUAUCAGAAGCUAGGGAGAGGAGAAGGUGGUGUAUGGGAAUAGAGAUGCAAAUGGAAAGAGACGUGGAAUCCUCUUCUGAUUACUACUGUUUUCUCAGUGAAACAAGUGAAAACAUCAGCUGAAAGCGUGGCAGGGGUGGAGGUUUGAGGAGAAAGGAAAAGGUGUGAAAUAGCCCCAAUAAGAACUCAGACUGUAGCUCAACUCUUCUUCCCAUUCUUCCAAGAGGCAAUCAAGAUUGAUUGUCCAUUGACCUCCAAUCCCUAUUCCACCAUAGUCCAAAUGCCUCAGUUCACCAUUGACCAAGAGUUUCAUUCCAUUUUAGCUCUGCCCAUCUCUGUUACAACAGUUAUCGACUCUCCCCUAUGCGCUGUCACCAGAUGUCUGGAGCUCCAAGGAGGUGACAACAAGUUCCCUGAAGAGGCAGUCCUUCCUCUGCGUGUGCUCUUGGCUGCCUUGCCUUAACCAAACUCUGGCUUUCUUGAGGACACUUUCCCUGCUAGUCUCAAGUAGAGACUUUUUGUUUCUCCAGUUUCACCCAACUCAGGACAAAGAGGUGGGGGAGAUGUUCUGCUUGCUCACUGUUGCCACCUUUAGACCAUUGCUUUUCUGAAGGUCACACUGUGAAGGUUAAGCCAUCUGCUUAUGCCACCCAGCACUUCUGAUUUUUUGCAACUCCUGCCCCAUUGUCUGCCUUCUCCCUCCCCACCCCUAUAACAUUUUGGAGAGACUUUUAAUGUCAACACAGAUGACUCAUUCUCCACCCUUGCCUCAUAGUUCCCAGACCUUCUUGCUCCAAAUAAUUAUUUUCUCACCUGAUUUCAUUGAUGGAUUACUGCGUGACCUUUCCAGCACCAGCAUCUAUGUCAUCUGCAACAUCUGAAUACAGGUAUCCUUUUACCCACCAUCUCCUAUGUUUUAGUUCAUUUAACAUGUUACAUUUAAAGAAGAAUUUUUCCCAUCAAAACACUGAUUCACUGACCAAAUAAAUCACUAUUUUCUUUUAUCUUUAAAUAGUUUAGCUACCCAUGAGAUAUAAAGAUCCAUUAUUGUAUUCCCUGCCUCGCAACCACAUUGAUCCUGCUUUCCCUAUGAUACUAGUGUGGCAAAGUCAACCCUGAUAUAACCCAAAUAUUCAUCUUCUCUUCUCCUAGUCUACUCAUUCAUUCACUUAUUUAUUUUCUUCAUCCAACAUAAUUUUCAUGGAGUAACCACUCUGCUCAGAGCCAGGGAUAGAGCAGUGAAUGAAAGAAGCAAACCUCCUUGUCUUCAUGAACCUUAUACUCAACACUGCAAGACUUCCCUGGAAACUCUUAAAGACAGUUUCCUUCAUUUCUUCUCACCUAAAAUAUCCUACAGGCUCUCCACAAUCCCUCAUUCUCAGCUGAUGACCCUGUCUAAUAGCCACUGGAAAAAAAAAAAUUGAAGUAAUCAGUAAUCCCACUACCUAACAUAGAAACCCAACUGUAUGUAUACCCAUCUGUCUUUCUUCUUUUUAACAUGGGAGAAAAAAUAUAUAUAAUACUAUACAAACUCACACAUAUGUAUAUAUAUACAUAUGUAUGUAUGUGUAUGUUUACAUAUAUACAUACUCUUCUGCUAUCUUCUUAACGACUUAAUUCCUGCAGAUUUUCCCUCUCUGCAUUACCACUUUUUUUCCCUUACAUUAUGAAAAAUCUCUAAUGACCACACAGCCUCUGUUAGUGCUUCAUGUCUCUGCCACUCUUCAAAUAACAUUUCUCAAAAAAUUAUCUACACUCUAUCUGUUCAUGUCUUUACCUCCCAUUCACUCUUCAAGCUCUUCAAUCUGGAUCUCACCCUCUUCACAACAUUAAAAAUACCCUUGUCAUGAAAUGUAUCUUUCUUUUGUUUCCUUGGUACCAGAUCCCCUUACCUUUUUGGUUACUCACCAUCAGUCUUUUUUCAAUGACUCCUUCUCUUUUAUUCCUUCUCUGAAUAUUGAGUCCUCCUAGGAUCCAUCCUGUGCUGUUUUAUCUUCUCUAUCUAAGUGAGCUCAUCUCAUCCCAUGGUUUAAAUAAUGCCUAUGUUCUUAUAUCCACAUCUCUGUUGUUGACUCUCCCAUGAGGCCCAAAUCCUUACUAACAACUCAAGAUGUCCCCUUGCAUAUAUUUAUUGGCAUCUAGUCAUUGCAAACUAGAUGUGUUUAGGAUGGAAUCUUGAUUUUCUCUGGACGAAACCACUUUCUUCCCUAACCCUCUUCAUUGAAUUAAUGGCAUUGUCACCAAGCACCUUAGACCUAGGAGUCCUCCUUGAUUCCUCCCUCACUCUCAUCUUCUAGAGUCAAUCUAUCAAUGUCUCUUUUUUUAUUAUAACCCCCAAAGAUAUUUCAAAUCUCUUCAUUUUCCCCCCAGUCUCCCCUGCCACUAUCUUGGUCCACACCAUCAUUAUUUCUUGCUUGGUCUGCUGAGAUAAUGUCCUCAUUGAUGUUGCUACUCCCAUUCUUAUACUCUUAUAACCCAUGCUCUACCCAGAAGCUAAAAUGAUCAGUUAAACUCUAAAUCAGAUCAUGCAGCACCCCUGAUUACAAUGAUCCUAGGCUGCCAGUGUCACUUAGAUUAAAACCCUGACUCCUUAUAAUUUCUCAUGGGAUUUCAUCCUUCUUUUUUCCAUCAUCAUCUAACACUGGUUCCCUGUUUCACUAUAUUCCCACCGUAUUUCUCUCUUUUCUGUGUUAUAAAUAGGGUGAACAAUUUCAUCCAUGUACUUUUUGUUGCCUUUGCCUGGAAUCCUCAUUCCUGGUCUUGUCACAUGUUACCUCUUUCUCAUUUGUUCCUAAAAUUUCUGUUCAAUGAUAACUAUUCCUCAGAAAACCCUUCUUAGACCGCCCUAUGUAAAGUGGCUAUCUUUUUACCAUGCUUCUUACCCUCAUAAUAUGAUUGCCUCAUUUUUUGAGAGAGAAGUUAUCAUAAGCUAUCAUUUUAUUUAUUAUUUGAAUAAUUGUGUGUUGUCCAUCUUAUGGUCCAAAUAGACCAUAAACUACUUGAGGGUGGGAAUGUAAUCUGAUUUAAUCUCUUCUGUAUUCCUACCACCUAAAAUAGGACCUUUCCCAUGCAAGGCUUGCAAUGAGUAUGGAUUGAAUAAAUGAAAGAAUCAUCAUUAGUCAUGCACAUCAGCAAUUCAGAGUUACAAGGAGACAUACCUGCGAGAGGGCAGAGGACAGAAAAAGUUCUGGAAUGGUAAAUGUAUGUGCUGACAAGUCCGGUUUAGUUUUUCCUUCUUCAAGCAGAAUUCCCUUGGUUAAAAGAAUUAAUGACUAUAUGGCAUUUAGCAGGCGUGAAUCCCAUCUACAUGUAUCAGCAUUCCCAGAUCUUAAAAACCAAAUGAAAGUGAAAACGUAAGUUUCAGAAUAAUACAUAGUGUAUUCCUGUAUUAAAACACUAAACUCUGUCAUGCAUGUAUUAUUUACAUAUGCAACUUGUAUGGUAAAUGUAGAGAACACUGGCUUUCUGGGAGGAGCCAUUCCAUCUUCAUCAGCACGGUAACUUCUGAGAUGGGAAGGGAAUGGGAUUCAGGCAGAGACUUCAAUUUUGUCCAUUUGUUUCAUUUCUUUCAUUUAAAAAAUCUGAAGCAAAUCUGACAAAGUGCUAACAUUGUGCAGUUGGGCGGGUUGAUGCAUGUUUAUCAUAUUUUUCUUUAUAAUGACUAUACUUUAAAUAUUAAAAAAUAAACUUAGUUAAAGGCCUUAUGUACCUGUGGUCUGAGGAGAACUUACAGAAUUGAUUCAUAAAAUAAAAUGUCCUUGUAUUUAAAUCAGGGGUUAACUAACUCAAUUUGGUCUCUAUCUUUAAGAUUCUUGGGUGGGCUUCCUUCUGGCUGGCGUCUGUGUUUUUGGGUCAGACUGAAGUGGUGUGGAAUGUGGAAACAGGACAGAAAACAUCUGUGCACUAACUCAAAUAUCUCUUCUCUCUUUCUCCAGGGUUGGCUUUUUUUUUUUUUUCCCUCCUGACAUAAGAGUGGCAAAAAUAACAAAUGCCACUUUUUGAGGACAUGUUAGGGACACUGUGUACAUUAUUUCAUCAAUGCUGGCAGUGACUCAUUAAGGUGGAUACUCUCAGCCCUGUUUUGCAGAUGUGAAGGAAAAUGUUCAGACAAUUUUUUUUUCAGAUGGACAAAAUGAACUUAAGAAAGACUGAAUAAUUCACUCAAGGUUACAGUGUUAACUAGCAGCUGUGCCAAGAUGAAGAUGCAGAUCUUUAUUCCUCUGGGAGACAGAUAUUCUUUCCACAAAUAACUGAGAUUCAAGAACUGUGUGUAUGACAUCAAGAGGUUUCCUAAUAGUGAGGCCUGAGGCCGACUUGGAAGAGAAGUGAGUCAGAAAGUCAACACAAUCUUGGGUGACAUAUUUUGAUUUUUUUAAUCACUUAAUUCACAUCCAAGAAUACAUUUAGAGAGUUGAAAAGAGUGUUCAGGUGGAAGAAAAACCAAAUUAAUAUAUAUGUUGUCUUUUUCUCAAUAUUCACACAGUUUUAACUUCUAAAUGUAUUUACUUCUCAUUGUGAAUGGAAAAGCACUAUUGGUGAGCUACAUUGAGAAUUUCAGCUAUAGUUUCCCUUAAAUGUUUUCUCCUAAGUUUUAAAAUGGCUUUAGCCAUCCACAUUUGACCACGUCAGCAGUAAAAG